Molecule: long non-coding RNA, 329 nt
Filed under: Malus domestica (apple)
Lineage: Eukaryota; Viridiplantae; Streptophyta; Magnoliopsida; Rosales; Rosaceae
Description: long non-coding RNA (MDOM_LNC016516)
Source: RNAcentral
GAUCCAAGCCAUUGAGUAAUCACUAAACUUCUAAGUACCAAAGUGUGGUAUCAUUUUCACUUGCCUUAUCUGUCUCAUAUGUAGAUGUGGCAUUUUCUCUGGAAGUACUUUUCCUCCAUCCAAGGGUGGUAUCUUUAACCGAUAAAGAUGCACAAGGUAAUGUAUCAAUUUCACUUGAAGCUUACUUGUAGUUUCGAUCUUGGUCAAGUGCGAUACAAACCCUAUAGUAGGAGUCCCCCAAGUCGCCGAGCUAGGAGAUUUGCCGAAGGAGGUAACAUACAAGGUAAGCAAUCAGACUUCCAAGCAAGCAACCUGGAUCAGAGGUUCGA